RNAcentral lists this ribosomal RNA (253 nucleotides) under uncultured bacterium. RNAcentral's name for it is "partial 16S ribosomal RNA". It matches the Rfam family "Bacterial small subunit ribosomal RNA", at positions 524 to 776 of the family's 1533-position model. The record is from RNAcentral.
UACGAAGGGUGCAAACGUUGCUCGGAAUUAUUGGGCGUAAAGCGCACGUAGGCGGCUUUGCAAGUCGGAUGUGAAAUCCCUCGGCUCAACCAAGGAAGUGCAUCCGAAACUGCAGAGCUUGAGUACCAAAGAGGAACGCGGAAUUCCAGGUGUAGCGGUGAAAUGCGUAGAUAUCAGGAGGAACACCGGUGGCGAAGGCGGUUCUCUGGGCCUGUACUGACGCUGAGGAACGAAAGCGUGGGGAGCGAACAGG